RNAcentral lists this ribosomal RNA (241 nucleotides) under uncultured bacterium. RNAcentral's name for it is "partial 16S ribosomal RNA". It matches the Rfam family "Bacterial small subunit ribosomal RNA", at positions 796 to 1041 of the family's 1533-position model. The record is from RNAcentral.
CACGCCCUAAACGAUGAUAACUCGAUGUUGGCGAUACACUGUCAGCGUCCAAGCGAAAGCAUUAAGUUAUCCACCUGGGGAGUACGACCGCAAGGUUGAAACUCAAAGGAAUUGACGGGGGCCCGCACAAGCGGAGGAGCAUGUGGUUUAAUUCGAUGAUACGCGAGGAACCUUACCCGGGCUUGAAAGUUAGUGAAUAAUUUAGAAAUAGAUUAGCUAGCAAUAGCACGAAACUAGGUGC